GACGAACGCUGGCGGCGUGCUUAACACAUGCAAGUCGAGCGGUAAGGCCCUUUCGGGGGUACACGAGCGGCGAACGGGUGAGUAACACGUGGGUGACCUGCCUCUAGCUCUGGGAUAAGCCCGGGAAACUGGGUCUAAUACUGGAUAUGACUCCAUGACGCAUGUUGUGGGGUGGAAAGCCUUGUGCGGCUAGAGAUGGGCCCGCGGCCUAUCAGCUUGUUGGUGGGGUGAUGGCCUACCAAGGCGACGACGGGUAGCCGGCCUGAGAGGGCGACCGGCCACACUGGGACUGAGACACGGCCCAGACUCCUACGGGAGGCAGCAGUGGGGAAUCUUGCGCAAUGGGCGAAAGCCUGACGCAGCGACGCCGCGUGAGGGAUGACGGCCUGGUGU
RNAcentral lists this ribosomal RNA (393 nucleotides) under uncultured bacterium. RNAcentral's name for it is "bacterial SSU rRNA". It matches the Rfam family "Bacterial small subunit ribosomal RNA", at positions 28 to 422 of the family's 1533-position model. The record is from RNAcentral.